This 103-nucleotide ribosomal RNA is filed under the name uncultured bacterium. Its description in RNAcentral is "partial 16S ribosomal RNA". It matches the Rfam family "Bacterial small subunit ribosomal RNA", at positions 228 to 334 of the family's 1533-position model. The record is from RNAcentral.
AGCUUGCGUACCAUUAGCUAGUGGUGGGUAAAGGCCCACCAGGCACGAUGGUUAGCGGGUCUGAGAGGAUGAUCCGCCACACUGGAACUGAAACACGGACCAG